AUUUAGUAGAAAAAAUUCUAAACAAGCUACGAAACUACUGCUUCUAUUAUUUCUAGAACAGAAAUACCUUUGCAAAUAGCACAGAUUAAACGUAUUUGUGUUUUUUAAUUAAUGGCGAAGCACAGAGCGAACCACCGUGACAUAAAUCACAAAAUCAACAACUAACGCAAAACGGUAUAAAAAAUAAAGUUAUGGGGGCAGCAAUACGGAUUUUGAUUUAUUGGCUGCUGGCGUGACUCUCUAUCUGAACAACCCAGCCCCCGGAAUGGGAUGGGUUGGGAUGGGGUGUGAGCCCCUAGCCAAACCCUCCUAAGUAGACAGCUCAAAGGCCUAAACGAAGCGAAACCAACAAGAAGAACAUGCGAAAACAAAAACACACGGAGUGGAACCAAAGCGAAGCCAAACAAUGGCGAGCAUUUUGAUUUGUGACUUGCGACUUUUCACGUAGCAUCCUCGCACACGCACACGCACCGGGAAAUCUCCAUAAAAAAUAUGAAAAUAAAAAUCACGCAACAGGA
Drosophila ficusphila is the source of this 518-nucleotide long non-coding RNA. RefSeq lists it as uncharacterized. Lineage: Eukaryota; Metazoa; Arthropoda; Insecta; Diptera; Drosophilidae. The transcript is spliced from 2 exons. The record is from RefSeq and is a predicted model, not a curated record.